This 336-nucleotide long non-coding RNA is filed under the name Eutrema salsugineum. Its description in RNAcentral is "long non-coding RNA (ESAL_LNC000669)". Lineage: Eukaryota; Viridiplantae; Streptophyta; Magnoliopsida; Brassicales; Brassicaceae. The record is from RNAcentral.
UCCUUUUUUACGUCUUCCUUCUUCUUCGUAUAGCCUCAUGAAGUUUUGACCUACAGAGAGAGCAAGCUUCAAAUGUUUUCUCCCCCUUCACUUUCUGUCUUCUUCGCUUCACCUAACUCAUCUGUUUCUUUCCUCUGCCUCACCUGCAAGAACGAAUGUUGAAACUAAGAUUGAAAAACAUAAAAACAUACAGUUAUUCAACAUUCUUCAACCAUACAGAAUUAUUUCCUCUUCACCUAACUCCUCUGUUUCUUUCCUCUGCCUCUUCACUAAACUCCUCUGUUUCUUUCCUGUUUUGGGUUAAUACAUUGGAUUCGUGGAAUUCCACUUCACCGG